RNAcentral lists this ribosomal RNA (435 nucleotides) under uncultured bacterium. RNAcentral describes it as "partial 16S ribosomal RNA". It matches the Rfam family "Bacterial small subunit ribosomal RNA", at positions 28 to 507 of the family's 1533-position model. The record is from RNAcentral.
GAUGAACGCUGGCGGUAUGCUUAACACAUGCAAGUCGAACGGACUCUUCGGAGUUAGUGGCGGACGGGUGAGUAACGCGUGAGAAUCUGGCUUUGGGUUCGGGACAACCACUGUAAACGGUGGCUAAUAUCGGAUGUGUCGAGAGGUAAAAGAGAACUUGCCUGAAGAUGAGCUCGCGUCUGUUUAGCCAGUUUGUGAGGUAAUGGCGCACUAUGGCAGCGAUAAGUAGCUGGUCUGAGAGGAUGACCAGCCACACUGGGACUGAGACGCGGCCCAGACUACUACGGGAGGCAGGAGGGGAGCAUUUUCCACAAUGGGCGAGAGCCUGAAGGAGCAAUACCGCGUGAGAGAAGAAGGCUCUGGGGAUGAAAACCUCUUGUCUUAGGGAAGGACAAAAUGACGGUACCUAAGGAAUAAGCAUCGGCUAACUCCGUG